AUGGGAGACGAAUGUUCAAACCGAAGCCUGGACGCACGCCUCAGGGGGGUCAGGAGAGCCCGAGGCAACAGUCUGCGAAUGAGGCCAGCACCCGCGUCCCUCGGGUUUUAAAAGCACACAUGGGGCCAGAGACUGCACAGCCAACUAAACGGAGUAAACGCAACAGGUGGAGGAGGCCGAGAGAAGCCCGGAGCGAUCUGGCCAGAGUCUGAGGGAGCGCGCGGACCUGGGACUGCAAAGAGACGCUUUGAAGCGUGCUGCGCGCACCUGCUUCUCCGAGGCAUCCGACUCCACCCGAGCAUCUCCGGAGAGAGCACAGUCCACAGAUGCAGGCAGGACUGCCCCGUAAGACACGUCCUCUUCCGACCCCUCACUCUCAAAGUUGCGGAAGAGGCGGAGAGGAUGAAAAAGAAGAGAGAAAGAAGAGAAAAAAAUUUUAAAAAAUAA
Molecule: non-coding RNA, 447 nt
Organism: Saimiri boliviensis boliviensis (Bolivian squirrel monkey)
Lineage: Eukaryota; Metazoa; Chordata; Mammalia; Primates; Cebidae
Source: RefSeq, a predicted model, not a curated record